RNAcentral lists this long non-coding RNA (1275 nucleotides) under Oryctolagus cuniculus (rabbit). Its description in RNAcentral is "lncRNA (ENSOCUG00000037201.1)". The record is from RNAcentral. Lineage: Eukaryota; Metazoa; Chordata; Mammalia; Lagomorpha; Leporidae.
AUGCGGGCUGGCCUGGGCGGGACAGGGCUCCUCCCAGAAGCUCCCCCAGGAAGGAAACACAAGGGAGGGCCCGGGGUGGGGGGCAGACCCACACAGCCCCUCCACGACCUCCACCUGUGCACCCCGGGCAGGAAGCCUGGGCCUGACCAGCCCUGGGGAGAGCCGCCUGUGCGGCUGACACCCAGGUUCCCACCAACACUGCUCCACCAGACGGCCUGCAACACCGGGCCCGGAACUGCCCCCACGCCCCCGCAGCGUGCUCCCGAGACCGCAGUCCGUGUCGCCAUGACACUGCGACCCGAGAACAGCCUGGGGAACACUGGCCACCUGGGAGUCAGGAGUCUGUGGCUGCCCAUUCAACUUCCCUUCAAGCCUGGAUCAGGGCUCUGGCCCACAGGGAGCCCCCCUAGCGGGGCUCCGGGCUCAGCCACUAUCCCCCCUCCCCAGGAAAAGCACUGGCAGGGACACCCAAACACCCCAGCAACCAGCAAAUCCCCACAAUUGUCAGCUGGCAGCUGGCAAAGCGGGACUGGGGGUGGCAGCCGCUGCCUCCUACCCCCAGGGGGAGGAUGCCAGCACCCAGGCCAGCGCCAGCUCUCUGCUGCUGGUAAUGGACCUCACAACCCCUGGCAACCAGCUGGGAACAGCCAAGCCAGGCCUGCUAGAAGACCCUCCCCUCCCCGGCCUGCUGGUAGACGCGUGGGUGCUGCUGGCCCGCACUGGCCCUGGGCCCCCACACGGCAGAGCAAUGGCCACUCAGGGCUCACACUCCAGAGCGUCGGGGGUGCGGCAGCCUGUCCAGCCCGGAGUGAGCCCCUGCCAGGAGCCAGCUCUGCAAGCUGCAGCCAGGCCCGGCCACACGUUGCACAGUUCCCACCAAGCCCCUCCCGAGGCACCGCAGGCCUGCAGAGCCUCCGUGGCUGCCAGGGAAGCCGCACCCCAGCCCAGCCAAGGCAUAAAAUGCAGGUCUGGGGAGACAGAAAUGGGGCUGCUCAGACCAGGGCGCAGGGCCCAGCGGAGCCGGCCAGAAGCGCGGCCCCGGCCCCUGCCCGCCAAGUGGCAGCCAGUGCGUCUGCAGCUUCCCCAGCACCCUCGAGCCAGCAGCCCCAGUCCCCGGGCACCCUCGACACUGCUAAGUGCACCCCCACAGAGCCCUUCCCGUUCUGUCUGCCCCAAUGCAGAGAAGCACACUCGCAACCUGGAUCCUCCGACACGGAACCUGGAGACGGCUCUCACUGCUCCCGUCCCAGGACGGCUGCCGCCUCCGUCACUUAG